Molecule: ribosomal RNA, 252 nt
Filed under: uncultured Allobaculum sp.
Lineage: Bacteria; Bacillati; Bacillota; Erysipelotrichia; Erysipelotrichales; Erysipelotrichaceae
Description: partial 16S ribosomal RNA
Rfam family: Bacterial small subunit ribosomal RNA
Source: RNAcentral
UACGGAGGAUGCGAGCGUUAUCCGGAUUUAUUGGGUUUAAAGGGUGCGUAGGCGGCCUGCUAAGUCUGGAGUGAAAGGUACCGGCUCAACCGGUACAGGCUCUGGAAACUGGCGGGCUAGAGAGCAGGAGAGGGCGGUGGAACUCCAUGUGUAGCGGUAAAAUGCGUAGAUAUAUGGAAGAACACCAGUGGCGAAGGCGGCUCUCUGGUCUGUAACUGACGCUGAGGCUCGAAAGCAUGGGUAGCGAACAGG